Molecule: ribosomal RNA, 196 nt
Filed under: uncultured bacterium
Lineage: Bacteria
Description: partial 16S ribosomal RNA
Rfam family: Bacterial small subunit ribosomal RNA
Source: RNAcentral
CCUACGGGAGGCAGCAGCCGCGGUAAUAUUGGACAAUGGGGGCAAGCCUGAUCCAGCAAUACCGCGUGUGUGAAGAAGGCCUGAGGGUUGUAAAGCACUUUCAGCGAGGAGGAAGUAUAUAUUGUUAAUAGCAAUAUAUGUUGACGUUACUCGCAGAAGAAGCACCGGCUAACUCUGUGCCAGCAGCCGCGGUAAU